Molecule: ribosomal RNA, 253 nt
Filed under: uncultured bacterium
Lineage: Bacteria
Description: partial 16S ribosomal RNA
Rfam family: Bacterial small subunit ribosomal RNA
Source: RNAcentral
UACGUAGGGUGCAGGCGUUAAUCGGAAUUACUGGGCGUAAAGCGUGCGCAGGCGGUUUUCUAAGUCAGAUGUGAAAUCCCCGGGCUUAACCUGGGAACUGCGUUUGAAACUGGGAGGCUAGAGUGCGGCAGAGGGGGGUGGAAUUCCACGUGUAGCAGUGAAAUGCGUAGAUAUGUGGAGGAACACCGAUGGCGAAGUAAUCCCCCGGGGCCUGCACUGACGGUCAUGCACGAAAGCGUGGGGAGCAAACAGG